UCCUGCAUAACACAUUUUCAAGUGUGUGCAUGGUUCUUAUUUAUUUUUUUAACUUGCAGUGUCUUCUAUUCCUCUACAUUUUACACCAAAAGCCAGUACUUUGGUUCAGAAUGGUUUAAAAGAGGCGUCCAAAGAAUAAUCCCACCCACUGCUCAACUACCACCCCUGUUUGUUACAGACCCGAUGCCCUUGGCUGAUGGAGGAACUGCAUCUGGAGGACGACCAUGAAUCUACCUGCCAACAGACCAGGACUCUGUGAGGGGUGGUGAUGGAGCCGUGCUGAGGACCCGCUGGUGAAGGACGUCCCUCGUGGGGGGGCAAGGACAGCCGACCCUGAGGAUCCGCUCGGAUCUACGAUCGCUACGAUGCGACUGCAGAGGUCUCUGGAAGACCAGGAGUCCUUGGCUGAGGAGAGCUGAUGGAGGAGCCGUGCACCUGGAGAACCAUGAGUCUGCCUGCCAACAAGUAGUACUGGGAUAGGGAGGUGAUGGAGGACCUGCCUGGUGAAGGACGUCAGGGUGGGGCGAGUGACACCCGACUCCAAGGGGAUAUCCACUGAGGAGAGAGCUGAAGGAGCCAUGCAUCUGGAAGGUGCAGUUGAAAUGCUGUGUCCAGUCUGGGACAGACAGACCUGAGCUGCGUCAAGCCUGUAUCUCUGACCAGCUGGAGUCCCUUAGUGAUCAACAACCGCCACUCAUCGCUGGCCUGUGGAUUCAUCUCCUCCACACUCAAACAACAGGACUUUGGCCUGUGGAUUCAUCUCCUCCACACUCACACAACAGGACUUUGGCCUGUGGAUUCAUCUCCUCCACACUCACACAACAGGACUUUGGCCUGUGGAUUCAUCUCCUCCACACUCACGCAACGUGACCUUCUCACCAUCUGUUGCACGUUUGGAUGCACCUAGCGUGUUCCAUCGAGGGUUCCUUCCUCCCCACGGUGGGAGGGUUCCUUGUCCUUCAAGGCGUCGGGGUUCAGUGUUAGGGACAGAGUUAGGGACAGAUGGCUGCGCUGGAUUCACGAUACACGCUUUGUGAUAAAAAUGGGAUCGGACAAAUCGCUUCCCAAAAUGUUUCAAUGUGCAAACGAUUUUAUAAAAUGUAUACUCGUGGUGUUUAU
Gadus macrocephalus (Pacific cod) is the source of this 1119-nucleotide long non-coding RNA. RefSeq lists it as uncharacterized. NCBI's taxonomy places the organism in Eukaryota, Metazoa, Chordata, Actinopteri, Gadiformes, Gadidae. The record is from RefSeq and is a predicted model, not a curated record. The transcript is spliced from 7 exons.